Molecule: ribosomal RNA, 430 nt
Filed under: uncultured soil bacterium
Lineage: Bacteria
Description: bacterial SSU rRNA
Rfam family: Bacterial small subunit ribosomal RNA
Source: RNAcentral
AGAACCUUACCAGCCCUUGACAUCCCGGUCGCGGGAACGAGAGAUCGAUCCCUUCAGUUCGGCUGGACCGGAGACAGGUGCUGCAUGGCUGUCGUCAGCUCGUGUCGUGAGAUGUUGGGUUAAGUCCCGCAACGAGCGCAACCCCCGCCCUUAGUUGCCAUCAUUUAGUUGGGCACUCUAAGGGGACUGCCGGUGAUAAGCCGCGAGGAAGGUGGGGAUGACGUCAAGUCCUCAUGGCCCUUACGGGCUGGGCUACACACGUGCUACAAUGGCGGUGACAGUGGGAUGCAAUGGAGCAAUCCUGCGCAAAUCUCAAAAAGCCGUCUCAGUUCGGAUUGUGCUCUGCAACUCGAGCACAUGAAGUCGGAAUCGCUAGUAAUCGCGGAUCAGAAUGCCGCGGUGAAUACGUUCCCGGGCCUUGUCACACCGA